CACUCCUACGGGAGGCAGCAGUGGGGAAUAUUGCACCAUGGGCGCAAGCCUGAUGCAGCCAUGCCGCGUGUAUGAAGAAGGCCUUCGGGUUGUAAAGUACUUUCAGCGGGGAGGAAGGCGAUAAGGUUAAUAACCUUGUUGAUUGACGUUACCCGCAGAAGAAGCACCGGCUAACUCCGUGCCAGCAGCCGCGGUAAUACGGAGGGUGCAAGCGUUAAUCGGAAUUACUGGGCGUAAAGCGCACGCAGGCGGUCUGUCAAGUCGGAUGUGAAAUCCCCGGGCUCAACCUGGGAACUGCAUUCGAAACUGGCAGGCUAGAGUCUUGUAGAGGGGGGUAGAAUUCCAGGUGUAGCGGUGAAAUGCGUAGAGAUCUGGAGGAAUACCGGUGGCGAAGGCGGCCCCCUGGACAAAGACUGACGCUCAGGUGCGAAAGCGUGGGGAGCAAACAGGAUUAGAAACCCGGGUAGUCCC
This 471-nucleotide ribosomal RNA is filed under the name uncultured organism. RNAcentral's name for it is "partial 16S ribosomal RNA". It matches the Rfam family "Bacterial small subunit ribosomal RNA", at positions 334 to 797 of the family's 1533-position model. The record is from RNAcentral.